RNAcentral lists this transfer RNA (73 nucleotides) under Ovis aries (sheep). It matches the Rfam family "tRNA". From Rfam's summary of the family: Transfer RNA (tRNA) molecules are approximately 80 nucleotides in length. Their secondary structure includes four short double-helical elements and three loops (D, anti-codon, and T loops). Lineage: Eukaryota; Metazoa; Chordata; Mammalia; Artiodactyla; Bovidae. The record is from Rfam by way of RNAcentral.
UCCCUGGUGGUCCAGUGGCUAAGACUCCACAUUCCCAAUGCAGGGGGCCUGGGUUCAAUCCCUGGCCAGGGAA